This 77-nucleotide transfer RNA is filed under the name Chloroflexota bacterium. Its description in RNAcentral is "tRNA-Met". It matches the Rfam family "tRNA". From Rfam's summary of the family: Transfer RNA (tRNA) molecules are approximately 80 nucleotides in length. Their secondary structure includes four short double-helical elements and three loops (D, anti-codon, and T loops). Further hydrogen bonds mediate the characteristic L-shaped molecular structure. tRNAs have two regions of fundamental functional importance: the anti-codon, which is responsible for specific mRNA codon recognition, and the 3' end, to which the tRNAs corresponding amino acid is attached (by aminoacyl-tRNA synthetases). tRNAs cope with the degeneracy of the genetic code in two manners: having more than one tRNA (with a specific anti-codon) for a particular amino acid; and 'wobble' base-pairing, i.e. permitting non-standard base-pairing at the 3rd anti-codon position. Lineage: Bacteria; Bacillati; Chloroflexota. RNAcentral also lists the same sequence under 2 other names. The record is from RNAcentral.
GGGCCGGUAGCUCAGUUGGUCAGAGCGGGCGACUCAUAAUCGCCUGGUCACAGGUUCGAGUCCUGUCCGGCCCACCA